UACGGGGGGGGCAAGCGUUGUUCGGAAUUACUGGGCGUAAAGCGUGCGCAGGCGGUCUUUUAAGUCAGAUGUGAAAUCCCCGGGCUUAACCUGGGAACUGCGUUUGAAACUGGAAGGCUAGAGUGUGGCAGAGGGGGGUGGAAUUCCACGUGUAGCAGUGAAAUGCGUAGAGAUGUGGAGGAACACCGAUGGCGAAGGCAGCCCCCUGGGCUAACACUGACGCUCAUGCACGAAAGCGUGGGGAGCAAACAGG
RNAcentral lists this ribosomal RNA (253 nucleotides) under uncultured bacterium. RNAcentral's name for it is "partial 16S ribosomal RNA". It matches the Rfam family "Bacterial small subunit ribosomal RNA", at positions 524 to 776 of the family's 1533-position model. The record is from RNAcentral.